GACGGAGGAUGCAAGCGUUAUCCGGAAUGAUUGGGCGUAAAGCGUCCGCAGGUGGCAGUUCAAGUCUGCUGUCAAAGACCGGGGCUUAACUUCGGAAAGGCAGUGGAAACUGAACAGCUAGAGUAUGGUAGGGGCAGAGGGAAUUCCUGGUGUAGCGGUGAAAUGCGUAGAUAUCGUCUGGAACGCCAAAGGUGAAAACAGACUGCUGGGAGUGUGCUGACGCUGAGACACGAAAGCCAGGGGAGCAAACGGG
Molecule: ribosomal RNA, 253 nt
Filed under: uncultured bacterium
Lineage: Bacteria
Description: partial 16S ribosomal RNA
Rfam family: Bacterial small subunit ribosomal RNA
Source: RNAcentral